CCUACGGGAGGCAGCAGUCGAGAAUCAUUCACAAUGGGGGAAACCCUGAUGGGGCGACGCCGCGUGGGGGAAUGAAGGUCUUCGGAUUGUAAACCCCUGUCAUGUGGGAGCAAAUUAAAAAGAUAGUACCACAAGAGGAAGAGACGGCUAACUCUGUGCCAGCAGCCGCGGUAAUACAGAGGUCUCAAGCGUUGUUCGGAAUCACUGGGCGUAAAGCGUGCGUAGGCUGUUUCGUAAGUCGUGUGUGAAAGGCGCGGGCUCAACCCGCGGACGGCACGUGAUACUGCGAGACUAGAGUAAGGGAGGGGGAACCGGAAUGCUCGGUGUAGCAGUGAAAUGCGUAGAUAUCGAGAGGAACACUCGUGGCGAAGGCGGGUUCCUGGACAUUAACUGACGCUGAGGCACGAAGGCCAGGGGAGCGAAAGGGAUUAGAUACCCCAGUAGUC
Molecule: ribosomal RNA, 446 nt
Filed under: uncultured bacterium
Lineage: Bacteria
Description: partial 16S ribosomal RNA
Rfam family: Bacterial small subunit ribosomal RNA
Source: RNAcentral